This 447-nucleotide ribosomal RNA is filed under the name uncultured bacterium. RNAcentral describes it as "bacterial SSU rRNA". It matches the Rfam family "Bacterial small subunit ribosomal RNA", at positions 329 to 793 of the family's 1533-position model. The record is from RNAcentral.
GGCCAGACUCCUACGGGAGGCAGCAGUGGGGAAUAUUGCACAAUGGGGGAAACCCUGAUGCAGCGACGCCGCGUGAGCGAUGAAGUAUUUCGGUAUGUAAAGCUCUAUCAGCAGGGAAGAAAAUGACGGUACCUGACUAAGAAGCCCCGGCUAACUACGUGCCAGCAGCCGCGGUAAUACGUAGGGGGCAAGCGUUAUCCGGAUUUACUGGGUGUAAAGGGAGCGCAGACGGCAGUGCAAGUCUGGAGUGAAAGCCUGUGGCUUAACCACGGGACUGCUCUGGAAACUGUGCAGCUAGAGUGCAGGAGAGGCAGGCGGAAUUCCUAGUGUAGCGGUGAAAUGCGUAGAUAUUAGGAGGAACACCGGUGGCGAAGGCGGCCUGCUGGACUGUAACUGACGUUGAGGCUCGAAAGCGUGGGGAGCAAACAGGAUUAGAUACCCUUGUAA